This 75-nucleotide transfer RNA is filed under the name Acidobacteriota bacterium. Its description in RNAcentral is "Acidobacteria bacterium tRNA-Met". It matches the Rfam family "tRNA". Rfam says of the family: Transfer RNA (tRNA) molecules are approximately 80 nucleotides in length. Their secondary structure includes four short double-helical elements and three loops (D, anti-codon, and T loops). Further hydrogen bonds mediate the characteristic L-shaped molecular structure. tRNAs have two regions of fundamental functional importance: the anti-codon, which is responsible for specific mRNA codon recognition, and the 3' end, to which the tRNAs corresponding amino acid is attached (by aminoacyl-tRNA synthetases). tRNAs cope with the degeneracy of the genetic code in two manners: having more than one tRNA (with a specific anti-codon) for a particular amino acid; and 'wobble' base-pairing, i.e. permitting non-standard base-pairing at the 3rd anti-codon position. The record is from RNAcentral. RNAcentral also lists the same sequence under 2 other names. Lineage: Bacteria; Pseudomonadati; Acidobacteriota.
GGCGGGGUAGCUCAGAGGUAGAGCGAGGGUCUCAUAAUCCCUAGGCCGUGGGUUCGAGUCCCACCCCCGCUACCA